GGGGAAUAUUGGACAAUGGGCGAAAGCCUGAUCCAGCGGCGCCGCGUGGGUGAAGAAGGCCUGCGGGUUGUAAAGCCCUUUCGGUGGGGAAGAAAAGCCUCGAGUUAAUACCUCGGGGUCUUGACGUAACCCAUAGAAGAAGCACCGGCUAACUCUGUGCCAGCAGCCGCGGUAAUACAGAGGGUGCGAGCGUUAAUCGGAAUUACUGGGCGUAAAGCGCGCGUAGGCGGCCCGGUCAGUCUUUGGUGAAAGCGCGGGGCUCAACCCUGCGUCGGCCAGGGAUACUGCCGCGGCUCGAGCACUGUAGAGGCAGGCGGAAUUCCGGGUGUAGCGGUGGAAUGCGUAGAGAUCCGGAAGAACACCGGUGGCGAAGGCGGCCUGCUGGGCAGUUUGGCUGACACUGAGGCGCGACAGCGUGGGGAGCAAAC
Molecule: ribosomal RNA, 428 nt
Filed under: uncultured bacterium
Lineage: Bacteria
Description: bacterial SSU rRNA
Rfam family: Bacterial small subunit ribosomal RNA
Source: RNAcentral